GACGAACGCUGGCGGCGUGCUUAACACAUGCAAGUCGAACGGAAAGGCCCUGCUUUUGUGGGGUGCUCGAGUGGCGAACGGGUGAGUAACACGUGUGUAACCUGCCCUUGACUUUGGGAUAACUUCAGGAAACUGGGGCUAAUACCGGAUAGGAGCUCCCGCUGCAUGGUGGGGGUUGGAAAGUUUCGGCGGUUGGGGAUGGACUAGCGGCUUAUCAGCUUGUUGGUGGGGGAGGGGCUUACCAAGGCUUUGACGGAUAGCCGGCCUGAGAGGGGGACCGGCCACAUUAGGCCUGAGGUACGGCGCAGACGGCUACGGGGGGCAGCAGGGGGGAAUAUUGCACAAUGGGCGGAAGCCUGAUGCAGCAACGCCGCGUUCGUGAUGACGGUCUGUGGGGUGUAAACCGCUGUCGCCUGUGACGAAGCGUGAGUGACGGUAAUGGGUGAAGAAGCACCGGCUAACUACGUG
This 468-nucleotide ribosomal RNA is filed under the name uncultured bacterium. Its description in RNAcentral is "partial 16S ribosomal RNA". It matches the Rfam family "Bacterial small subunit ribosomal RNA", at positions 28 to 507 of the family's 1533-position model. The record is from RNAcentral.